RNAcentral lists this ribosomal RNA (253 nucleotides) under uncultured bacterium. RNAcentral describes it as "partial 16S ribosomal RNA". It matches the Rfam family "Bacterial small subunit ribosomal RNA", at positions 524 to 776 of the family's 1533-position model. The record is from RNAcentral.
UACGGGGGGGGCAAGCGUUGUUCGGAAUUACUGGGCGUAAAGGGCUCGUAGGCGGCCAACUAAGUCAUACGUGAAAUCCCACGGCCCAACCGUGGAAGUGCCUCUGAUACUGCCGGCCUCGAGGGGGAUAGGGGCGUGCGGAACUCAGGGUGGAGCGGUGAAAUGCGUAGAUAUCCUGAGGAAUACCGGUGGCGAAAGCGGCGCGCUGGAUCCCUUCUGACGCUGAGGCGCGAAAGCCAGGGGAGCAAACGGG